AGGUGCGCUGGAACCCCUUCAGAAGUGCUAAACUUCCGAAUUAGAUCUGACUUCUGAGUACUUCGACACCAAACGCACAACCCUACUAUUUACUUCUCCAAAGUUGCAUUUGCAGUGUAGAAGUGUAUUAUUUUUCUGAACAUUUAACUUUAACAGUACCUGCAAUAGAUCCAUCAUUUAGAUUGUUGUAUUGCUUUUUCUUUCAGCUUUUGAUAGAACCAUCUCAACUACAGCCUCCCAUUCAUCUUUUAAAAGGAGAAGGAGAUAGGCCUUCCGUAUAUCAUGCAAAACCAGAGAAGGCAAGUCGUGAAACGACUCCUAGAUCGCUGUCACCUGAUCAUGAACCUAGUGUCUAUAAAGCUCAGCAGCCCCCUGAAGAAAUUAAAGGGGCCCAAAUGAUACAAGAAGACAAAGAUAUCCAAGUGGAAAUGCCUGUUGACCAGGUAGAUUUAAUGUAAAUGUCUUUUUUCCUGAUUUAGAAUACUUUACUACCUGAUUGUGUUUGGAAACAAAAGGAAGGCAGAAACACCUUAGUGCAUUUAGAAUAUCAGAAUUCUACAUGCAUUUACAUUCCAUUAACCAGGCUCCAAGCUGCCUCAAAGAAAAUAUUUCUGGUGAUGAGAAUUUUCUUUCCUGGGCUACAGCCUUCAGGACAUGUUCUCUUGAACGUUCUUCAACUAUUAGAGUUAUUUUUGGAGUGGAAUGAAAGGUCGGCAAAGGAAUUGGGGGUAGCAGAGGACCAUGGCCUCUUCUACAUGGCCAUAUAAAAUCCAGAUUAUCUGCUUUGAACUGGAUUAUAUGGCAGUGUAUGCUCAUAUAAUCCAGUUGAAAGCAGAUAAUGCAGAUUAUCUGUUUGGAUAACUUGGAUUAUAUGGUGGUGUAGAAGAGGCCUAUGUAACCACAUUAGAUCAGGUCACAUGUGACUUGUUGAAGACCAGUACUAUAUAUGAAAAUAUUUUAGAUUCAUUAUCACAAUGUCUUAAAAAUAAAUUUAGUUAUGAACUUAUUUAGUUUUAGUAGUGAUGACUGUAUGUGAGAUAAAAUGAUUUAUUUAUUACUAAGAAGGUUUUUAAUCAACUUUUCAGUGAGCAAACAGGAUUUAACAUUCUGUAGCGUUCCGUUAUGCCUGGAAAUGAUGCAGUGGAGGAUUUGAGAGGGAAGGGGGGAAUGUGCCGAUGCAUGGGAGGGAAUGUGGCCACCCCCUACCAAGAUCUUGGGGUUUAGGGCCUCUGUUUGGUUCUUUCAGACAGGGCUUUUGGCCUGUCUGGAAUGGCCCUAAGGCACUUCUGAGCACAAACAGCAGCACUUUGUUCUUACCUAGAGGUUGGGGUUUUUAAAAAAUCCAAAAUACAUUGCAGAAGAGGGGAAAACCCUUUGAAAACACAGAACCUUCAUAAUAAGAGUUUAGAAUCAUGUACAUUUAAAAAUAAGGCAAAUUGAGCUGGGUCUCCAAAGUCCUUAGUGAGCAAAGACACAGUUGACAUCUAUGAUUGACCAGUAAUCUGUAUGAUUAUAAAAACUGAGUAUUUAUUGGACAGAUCCCUACCCAAUUUUCUUCAUCUGCCUAUGGUCUAUAGAGGUCUCUGUAGAUUCAAAAAUAUCCGGAAAUUCCAAUAGUUAAUAAUUGAGGCAUUCUUUCACGAGAGAUCUGGCUUUUUGCAAUACAAUUGGCUCUCCAUAUCUAUGGAUUCUUUAUCCUUUGAUUCAACUAUCCACAGCUUGAAAGUACCCAAAUAAUGGUAAAGUGAAAACUUUGAUUUCAUCAGUUUACAUAAGGGCAUUAUUUUAUAAUGCUAUUGUAUAUAAUAGAUUUUUUUGGUAUCUACAAGGAUCGUGAAACAAACCCCAAACGGUAACAAGGAAUCACUGUAAUUUGGAUAGCCCAUUGUUACCUGCAUGAAGGUUUUAUAAUAUAGUUUGUAAACUUGGGACAGUAUGCAUUAAUAUCAGUGCCAGAGUGGUAUGGUGGUUUAAGCAUUGGAGAUCAGGGUUCAAAUGUUUGCUAAGCCAUGGAAAGCUACAGGAUGAUCUUGGGCAAGUCACACUUUCUCAGCCUCGGGUCCUAUCUACUGUGCCGUAUACUUUAAUGUAGUUUCAUAAUGCAGUUAUAUAAUGAGCUGCAUGACAUGGCAGUGUAGACUCACAUAAUACAGUGCAGUGAAGUUAAACCGCAUUAUGUGAUUGGGUAGAUUGAACCUCAGAGGAGGGUAAUGUCAAUAGAAAAGGAAAUGGCUGAUUAUUUUUCUUGAUUGUCGAUAAAAUUAUGUAAGAAAGCUUCUGUUUUAUUUCUUUUUUGAAAAUUUUAAAUAGAAUUUAUUUUACCCCAGGUUCCAGCUGAGGUUGUUCAAGAAGAAGACAUUUAUUCAAAUGUUGGGGAUGUCGAUGAGCAGGUUAGUUUUGUGUUUACAAUCUUGGGGAGCAAUAUUUGAAAAUUGAAAUGGAACCUUAAUCAUUAGUCCAAUUUGUUAAAGAAAAACAAUAAUGAAUCCUAAUAACCAAAACCACUCAAACUUUAGCAUCUUAAAGAUUGUAUCCCAAGCCUCUCACUACUUUUCUCCCAAAUGAAAUGACAGCAUGUUUUCAGAUGGACAGAGGCUGAUACGCUUACUAGAUCUUGAUGCCUAGGCUAUGGUCGACAGGACUGUUUGUUAGCUUUCUCUCCUGAUUUAAAAUGUAGUUUUAGUCAACAUUUAAAGUUAUAGUUUAUAAUAGAUAUAUUUUCUUUACAGUAUAGCUGCACAGCAAACAAAAUAGAGGAAUUCUUUCUUAUGUGACACCAGUAAUAACUUUAAAAUGAUAGAAUCUUAAAUACUCAGAGGAUCGAUUGAUAGGAUAUGAGAGUGUCUUAAGGUAUCUCACUCUUUUGGCUCAUUCUAAGAAGUUGCAAUCUCAGAUAGAUUUGUGAAUGUGAAUCAGUAGAAGCCAAAAUACCAUUGGAGUGGCAUGUGAUUGCUUUUUGUCCUGCCCUUCUCGCCUGCCUCUUUCUCCAACUCACAAGAGCCAUCUGUGGUUUUGCAUUAUUGCAUGAUUGUACCCAGCACUUGGGUUGCAAAAGGUCACCCAUAAUCUCAGGAUAGUGACCUGGGUCAGGUCAGAAAGAUGUGGAAAAAUAAAUGGGAGUAUGAUGGUUUGCAAGACUCUCAGUCAUUGUGCCCCACUUUAAGCAUUACUUUCCUGGCACAUCAGUUCAAAAGAUUAGAGUGUAAAUUGUAGGUUUAGAAAGAAAAGGUUCUCUGUUUAUUGUAACCUGACAUCUGCAAUUAAAUUGGAUAUGACAUAGGGAGAACAUAACUUGAAUGGCCAGUAAUGGCAAGGCAAAUGCCUUUCACUAUUCCUAGCAUGUGGAAUUCAGAGGUGGGUUAUUUUUUUGUUUGUGGACCU
Long non-coding RNA from Anolis carolinensis (green anole), 3381 nucleotides. The record is from Ensembl. Lineage: Eukaryota; Metazoa; Chordata; Lepidosauria; Squamata; Anolidae.